Molecule: ribosomal RNA, 253 nt
Filed under: uncultured bacterium
Lineage: Bacteria
Description: partial 16S ribosomal RNA
Rfam family: Bacterial small subunit ribosomal RNA
Source: RNAcentral
UACGUAGGGUGCAAGCGUUAAUCGGAAUUACUGGGCGUAAAGCGUGCGCAGGCGGCUUUGCAAGACAGAUGUGAAAUCCCCGGGCUUAACCUGGGAACUGCAUUUGUGACUGCAUGGCUAGAGUGCGGCAGAGGGGGAUGGAAUUCCGCGUGUAGCAGUGAAAUGCGUAGAUAUGCGGAGGAACACCGAUGGCGAAGGCAAUCCCCUGGGCCUGCACCGACGCUCAUGCACGAAAGCGUGGGGAGCAAACAGG